RNAcentral lists this ribosomal RNA (305 nucleotides) under uncultured bacterium. RNAcentral describes it as "bacterial SSU rRNA". It matches the Rfam family "Bacterial small subunit ribosomal RNA", at positions 338 to 640 of the family's 1533-position model. The record is from RNAcentral.
CCUACGGGGGGCAGCAGUGAGGAAUAUUGGUCAAUGGGCGGAAGCCUGAACCAGCCAAGUCGCGUGAGGGAAUAAGGCCCUACGGGUCGUAAACCUCUUUUGCCGGGGAGCAAGGGCCGGGACGCGUCCCGGCCCGGAAAGUACCCGGAGAAAAAGCAUCGGCUAACUCCGUGCCAGCAGCCGCGGUAAUACGGAGGAUGCGAGCGUUAUCCGGAUUUAUCGGGUUUAAAGGGUGCGUAGGCGGGCUUUUAAGUCAGCGGUAAAAAUUCGGGGCUCAACCCCGUCCGGCCGUUGAAACUGGGGGC